AUUGAACGCUGGCGGCAUGCCUUACACAUGUAAGUCGAACGGCAGCACGGGAGCAAUCCUGGUGGCGAGUGGCGAACGGGUGAGUAAUAUAUCGGAACGUGCCCAGUCGUGGGGGAUAACGUAGCGAAAGCUACGCUAAUACCGCAUACGAUCUACGGAUGAAAGCGGGGGAGUCGCAAGACCUCGCGCGAUUGGAGCGGCCGAUAUCAGAUUAGGUAGUUGGUGAGGUAAAGGCUCACCAAGCCGACGAUCUGUAGCUGGUCUGAGAGGACGACCAGCCACACUGGGACUGAGACACGGCCCAGACUCCUACGGGAGGCAGCAGUGGGGGAAUUUUGGUACG
RNAcentral lists this ribosomal RNA (343 nucleotides) under uncultured bacterium. Its description in RNAcentral is "bacterial SSU rRNA". It matches the Rfam family "Bacterial small subunit ribosomal RNA", at positions 30 to 372 of the family's 1533-position model. The record is from RNAcentral.